Molecule: unclassified non-coding RNA, 376 nt
Filed under: uncultured bacterium
Lineage: Bacteria
Description: contains 16S-23S intergenic spacer region
Source: RNAcentral
UCCGAGUUGACCCCGGCAGUCUCCUAUGAGUCCCCACCACCACGUGCUGGCAACAUAGGACGAGGGUUGCGCUCGUUGCGGGACUUAGCCCAACAUCUCACGACACGAGCUGACGACAGCCAUGCACCACCUGUACACGGCCCUUACGGACCCAACAUCUCUGCUGGAUUUCCGUGUAUGUCAAACCCAGGUAAGGUUCUUCGCGUUGCAUCGAAUUAAUCCGCAUGCUCCACCGCUUGUGCGGGCCCCCGUCAAUUCCUUUGAGUUUCAGUCUUGCGACCGUACUCCCCAGGCGGAGUGCUUAAUGUGUUGACUUCGGCACAGCAGGGGUCGAUACCCGCUACACCAAGCACUCAUCGUUUACGGCGUGGACUAC